This 424-nucleotide ribosomal RNA is filed under the name Verrucomicrobiota bacterium. Its description in RNAcentral is "Verrucomicrobia bacterium partial 16S ribosomal RNA". It matches the Rfam family "Bacterial small subunit ribosomal RNA", at positions 355 to 776 of the family's 1533-position model. The record is from RNAcentral. Lineage: Bacteria; Pseudomonadati; Verrucomicrobiota.
UGAGGAAUAUUGGUCAAUGGGCGAGAGCCUGAACCAGCCAAGUAGCGUGCAGGAUGACGGCCCUAUGGGUUGUAAACUGCUUUUAUGCGGGGAUAAAGUGCGCGACGUGUCGUGCAUUGCAGGUACCGCAUGAAUAAGGACCGGCUAAUUCCGUGCCAGCAGCCGCGGUAAUACGGAAGGUCCGGGCGUUAUCCGGAUUUAUUGGGUUUAAAGGGAGCGUAGGCCGCCAGAUAAGCGUGUUGUGAAAUGUACCGGCUCAACCGGUGAAUUGCAGCGCGAACUGGUCGACUUGAGUAUGCAGGAAGUAGGCGGAAUUCAUGGUGUAGCGGUGAAAUGCUUAGAUAUCAUGACGAACUCCGAUUGCGCAGGCAGCUUACUGUAGCAUAACUGACGCUGAUGCUCGAAAGUGCGGGUAUCAAACAGG